CGUGAGGGACGAAGGCCUCUGGGCUGUAAACCUCUUUUCUCAAGGAAGAAGAUAUGACGGUACUUGCGGAAUAAGCCACGGCUAAUUCCGUGCCAGCAGCCGCGGUAAUACGGGAGUGGCAAGCGUUAUCCGGAAUUAUUGGGCGUAAAGCGUCCGCAGGCGGCCUUUCAAGUCUGCUGUUAAAGCGUGGAGCUUAACUCCAUCAUGGCAGUGGAAACUGAUAGGCUUGAGUAUGGUAGGGGCAGAGGGAAUUCCCGGUGUAGCGGUGAAAUGCGUAGAUAUCGGGAAGAACACCAGUGGCGAAGGCGCUCUGCUGGGCCAUAACUGACGCUCAUGGACGAAAGCCAGGGGAGCGAAAGGGAUUAGAUACCCCUGUAGUCCUGGCCGUAAACGAUGAACACUAGGUGUCGGGGGAAUCGACCCCUUCGGUGUCGUAGCUAACGCGUUAAGUGUUCCGCCUGGGGAGUACGCACGCAAGUGUG
This 482-nucleotide ribosomal RNA is filed under the name uncultured Prochlorococcus sp. Its description in RNAcentral is "bacterial SSU rRNA". It matches the Rfam family "Bacterial small subunit ribosomal RNA", at positions 400 to 896 of the family's 1533-position model. Lineage: Bacteria; Bacillati; Cyanobacteriota; Cyanophyceae; Synechococcales; Prochlorococcaceae. The record is from RNAcentral.